Long non-coding RNA from Jaculus jaculus (lesser Egyptian jerboa), 1369 nucleotides. RefSeq lists it as uncharacterized. The transcript has 4 exons. The record is from RefSeq and is a predicted model, not a curated record. Lineage: Eukaryota; Metazoa; Chordata; Mammalia; Rodentia; Dipodidae.
UAACCACCAGGGGCUGAAGCUGACCUAGAAUCUGUGCUGAGAGAAAUUUAACCCCACGAUGGCACGCAAGAGGGCUGCCCCCCAUUCUCCAGGCACUCAUGGGCAGCCCUCAGGUUGUCAGCCCUCGGGAAUCUCUCAGGCACGGAAUGAGGCCCAGCGUGUGGAUGUAGCCCUGUUGACCAGCAUUGCUUAACAGAUGGCUUCCAAGGAGUCAAGAAUGGACCAAGGGAUGAGAGGAACCAAAUAUGAUGCUGGCCGACAAUGCAUAAAUAUCAUAUAAGUCAUCCACUUAUUGAGCACCCUGCCAUGGACCAGGCACCUAUCACUACUCAUCAAGCCCAAAGAAAAGCAGCUCAAGUGUCCACUGACAUGAAUGGACAAGUGGAAUAUUGGCCUUACAAAGGAAGGAAAACUGGACCCACGCUAUGCCAUGGGGCUGCAUAUAAAAGCUCACUGUGACUUAAUAGUAUGAUGUCUAUUCAUACUGUGAAGUCAUUAGCAACAGAGCCAUCCUGCUGAGAGCAAAGAGGAAAUGCCACAUAUGACCGAAGACAAAAUUAUCUACCAAAUCAAGACCUGGACGUCUCAAAUACAUUUGGCACAGAAGACAUCAGAUUAAGAACAUGUUCUAGCAGAGGGAUUAGGUUAAAUAACCCAUGCCAAGAGCUUUAAGAAGCAGCAGACACAUCUCUUAUGGAGGCAUAAAGAGUCCUCCAGCAGCUCAAAAAUACUUACUAAGCACCUAUUAUGAGCCAAGCACCACACUAGGUUCUAGGGAUAUAAUAACAAAUGAAACUUGACUUUCCUUCAAAUAUCUCAGGGUCUACGGUGGGGAUAGAUGGGUAUUAAUAAGACGUGAUAUUGAUGUAACAGAACAUACAUAGAUAGUGUUAACACAGCAAGAUAGAAGAAGGCAUGGCGGACUCAAGGCAGACUUGCUUGAGGAGGGACAGCUUAGGGCGCACUGAAGACAUCCGUGGCAGGAAGAAGAAAGCCAUGGGAAGUGUUCCUGAGCGGAACAUGCACAGAGAGGACAGCUCACAGACCAAGCACCACUCUGGUCCCUGGAGUUAGGAGAAAUCAGACAGGGUCUUGCCCUCCUACUUGUUAAUCUUCUCCAGCCUCAACUUUCACAUCUAUAAAAUAAGGGGAGCAAGUGGAACUCUUCCCAAGGGACUAGACACCCAGAACGAGCUUGAUACACGUAGCUGUUACCAUGAAAAUAAUGUCUUUUCUAAAACAGAGAGACGUAGUAUGGCAAGGAUUCAGAGAAGCACCGGAUUCUUGCAAUGGGCGCUGACUUUGAUGUCCACUCAUGGCCUUGCGUGAAGUUUUCAUGUCCAAUAAAAUGAUGCUUUAGACAUGUAAA